GACGAACGCUGGCGGCGUGCUUAACACAUGCAAGUCGAACGGAAAGGCCCUGCUUUUGUGGGGUGCUCGAGUGGCGAACGGGUGAGUAACACGUGAGUAACCUGCCCUUGACUUUGGGAUAACUUCAGGAAACUGGGGCUAAUACCGGAUAGGAGCUCCUGCUGCAUGGUGGGGGUUGGAAAGUUUCGGCGGUUGGGGAUGGACUCGCGGCUUAUCAGCUUGUUGGUGGGGUAGUGGCUUACCAAGGCUUUGACGGGUAGACGGCCUGAGAGGGUGACCGGCCACAUUGGGACUGAGAUACGGCCCAGACUCCUACGGGAGGCAGCAGUGGGGAAUAUUGCACCAUGGGCGGAAGCCUGAUGCAGCAACGCCGCGUGCGGGAUGACGGCCUUCGGGUUGUAAACCGCUUUCGCCUGUGACGAAGCGUGAGUGACGGUAAUGGGUAAAGAAGCACCGGCUAACUACGUG
Molecule: ribosomal RNA, 468 nt
Filed under: uncultured bacterium
Lineage: Bacteria
Description: partial 16S ribosomal RNA
Rfam family: Bacterial small subunit ribosomal RNA
Source: RNAcentral